GUGUUCGUAGAAAGGAGAGAUGGUUGGAAUCUCCCCAAACAAGGAUAGGGAAGCCUUUGGGCUUUACCUGACAACAAAACUUGUCUACUUUUC
Molecule: small nuclear RNA, 93 nt
Organism: Nicotiana attenuata
Lineage: Eukaryota; Viridiplantae; Streptophyta; Magnoliopsida; Solanales; Solanaceae
Source: Rfam